CCUACGGGUGGCUGCAGUGGGGAAUAUUGGACAAUGGGCGAAAGCCUGAUCCAGCCAUGCCGCGUGUGUGAAGAAGGCCUUCGGGUUGUAAAGCACUUUCAGUGGGGAAGAAAGCCUUGGGGCUAAUACCCUCGAGGAAGGACAUCACCCACAGAAGAAGCACCGGCUAACUCCGUGCCAGCAGCCGCGGCAAUACGGAGGGUGCGAGCGUUAAUCGGAAUUACUGGGCGUAAAGCGCGCGUAGGCGGUCUGAUAAGCCGGUUGUGAAAGCCCCGGGCUCAACCUGGGAACGGCAUCCGGAACUGUCAGGCUAGAGUGCAGGAGAGGAAGGUAGAAUUCCCGGUGUAGCGGUGAAAUGCGUAGAGAUCGGGAGGAAUACCAGUGGCGAAGGCGGCCUUCUGGACUGACACUGACGCUGAGGUGCGAAAGCGUGGGUAGCAAACAGGAUUAGAUACCCUUGUAGUC
This 465-nucleotide ribosomal RNA is filed under the name Vreelandella stevensii. RNAcentral describes it as "partial 16S ribosomal RNA". It matches the Rfam family "Bacterial small subunit ribosomal RNA", at positions 338 to 795 of the family's 1533-position model. The record is from RNAcentral. Lineage: Bacteria; Pseudomonadati; Pseudomonadota; Gammaproteobacteria; Oceanospirillales; Halomonadaceae.